This 501-nucleotide ribosomal RNA is filed under the name uncultured Actinomycetes bacterium. Its description in RNAcentral is "bacterial SSU rRNA". It matches the Rfam family "Bacterial small subunit ribosomal RNA", at positions 355 to 866 of the family's 1533-position model. The record is from RNAcentral. Lineage: Bacteria; Bacillati; Actinomycetota; Actinomycetes.
UGGGGAAUAUUGGACAAUGGGCGAAAGCCUGAUCCAGCAACGCCGCGUGAGGGAUGACGGCCUUCGGGUUGUAAACCUCUUUCAGUAGGGACGAAGCGCAAGUGACGGUACCUACAGAAGAAGCACCGGCCAACUACGUGCCAGCAGCCGCGGUAAUACGUAGGGUGCGAGCGUUGUCCGGAAUUAUUGGGCGUAAAGGGCUCGUAGGCGGUUUGUCACGUCGGGAGUGAAAACUCGGGGCUUAACCCCGAGCCUGCUUCCGAUACGGGCUGACUAGAGGUAUGCAGGGGAGAACGGAAUUCCUGGUGUAGCGGUGAAAUGCGCAGAUAUCAGGAGGAACACCGGUGGCGAAGGCGGUUCUCUGGGCAUUACCUGACGCUGAGGAGCGAAAGUGUGGGGAGCGAACAGGAUUAGAUACCCUGGUAGUCCACACCGUAAACGUUGGGCGCUAGGUGUGGGACUCAUUCCACGAGUUCCGUGCCGCAGCUAACGCAUUAAGCG